GCCGGGUGUGGUGGCGGGCAUCUGUAAUCCUAGCUACCCGGGAGGCUGAGGUGGGAGAAUCGCUUGAACCCAGGAGAAGGAGGUUGCAGUGAGCUGAGACCGUGCCACUGCACUCCAGCCUGGGUGACAGAGCAAGACUCCAUCUCAA
This 148-nucleotide non-coding RNA is filed under the name Gorilla gorilla gorilla (western lowland gorilla). The record is from Rfam by way of RNAcentral. Lineage: Eukaryota; Metazoa; Chordata; Mammalia; Primates; Hominidae.